Long non-coding RNA from Cervus elaphus (red deer), 1882 nucleotides. RefSeq lists it as uncharacterized. The transcript has 5 exons. Lineage: Eukaryota; Metazoa; Chordata; Mammalia; Artiodactyla; Cervidae. The record is from RefSeq and is a predicted model, not a curated record.
UGAGUGAGGAUCUCAAUAUGGGAGGAAGAGGUAGUAGAAAGAGGUUUUCCCCUUUGGGAAAGGUCUGUGUUACAGUGCAAUAAGGAAGAGAAAAGAUUUACAAUCAUCAGCAUCACUAUCCCCAACCCACCCCCCAAAAGCAACAGAUAAAUCUUAGAAAAUCGACAAGCACUCCUAGGCUGACACAGAGGAGUGAGAUAGAUAGUGAGGAGCCCUUUUGGGCCUCUGGCCUGUGGAGCUGUGAAGUCUCAGUUCCCUUCUCUGCCCAGCAUUUGCAGCACUGCCCCUGCCCCUGUCUACCUACCUCCUCACCUGGAGGUAUCGGGCUCCUCUAUGACACCCCAGCAGACAGGGUCUAAGAUACAUAUGCACCCUCUCAAGUCUCAAGCCUGUGUCUGCAUCUAUAUCCAGAAACAGGAACAAGAAUCAAGAACCAAGGUAGCCCCCAAUUUGACUUAAAGAACUCUCAAACCUCAGGUCAAUGUAUUGGGAGGGGGUACUCCCCCCCACAGGAAUGCCCUUGCCGUUUUUGUCAUUGUAUGUAUGUAUAAAUGAAUAUCCCCGACAAGAUAGAAUUCUCUGAACAUGAAGGGGGUGCAAAAAUAAUGAUCAGAGAUGAUAUCUCAUUUCUAGCCCCUGGGGAAAUUGUUGUUUUUAUUUCUUUUCAGAAGUUAAAGAGAGUAUGAACUUUAGGGAGUGCUGUAAUUUACUGGCGGGAAUGGGUACAAGACUCACGGCCCCAAGCAAUUGGUGGGGAACUAGAUCUCAAAGCAGAAAAUGAAAAGUCGAUCUGGGGUAAGAUUUUUAAAUAAGUGGGUCAGAGGGACCGAGAGGAGAUGAGGCGAUCAAUCUUAGCCUCCUGACAGCUCCCUCCGAUGGCAUCAAAGAAUUUGGCUCUUUGGGAAAGAAGAGGGAACAGCCGAAAUUCCCCAUCCCUUUAAAAGGCUUGGAGGUGGGGGGUAUUAGCAAAAGAGAAAGGUGAUUCUGGGAGAGCAGGGAAACAGAUGGGAAAUGGGGACAGAGGAAAGGCGCUGGGUUGGGUGGAAAGUUUUUCUGCAGAACUCCCACGGCUCCGGCCUCCCCUCCCCCUCCUUGCUCACUGCCGCUGAGCAAGAAGGAGAAGGCUGGUUAGCAGAGAAAUGGCAACUCGGCUGGGAGCUGGAACUAGAAACUUUCUGACAGUGUAACAGCCGCGUGGGUGGUGCUCUUAUCGGCUCCAGCGACGCGGCGGUGACAUUUCAUCUUUGACAGACCCUCUCUAUCCUCGCUCCAAUGUGAUAAAACUUUUAUGGAACCACGACUAAGAAAUGAAGUUUUCCCAAGGAUCGUGGAAACAGAGCGGCACAUUAGCCUGGGGACCAUUUUAUGUACGCUUGGAUCCAUAGCUUCUCCCACCGUCCUCCCCUUACCCUGGCAGGGGAAAUCAAGCAGGCCUCCUCUCCCUCCGCCCUGAAUUUUAUUUAGUGAUUUAAUUUCACUUUAGUUUUAAGGUUUGACCUGAGAAGUCUAGGCCUCAGAAUUUUUUUUUUUAAGAUUAAUCAUUUUCCUUUGUUUUCAUUUUAGACCCAAUGGUGGUUGGGCUUCGGGUCACGUGACGACUUCUUUGUAGCUCCGGAAGAGAACUGUGAAGUUUAGGAGAAUUGCCAGGAAAAAAAAAUAUCAAGAUUUGGGGGAAUUAACCACAUAGAAGGAAGGUGUGUUAACUUGGGCGCUUCUUGGAUUCUACCCUGAGGAGGAGGCGCAUGAUCUUGAUCUGCCGCUCGCUGAGGUUCAGCAGGUUGGCCAUCUCCACGCGGCGCGGCCGGCACAGGUAGCGGUUGAAGUGGAACUCCUUCUCCAGCUCCACCAGCUGCGCGCUCGUGUACGCCGUCCGCGCCCGCUU